Molecule: ribosomal RNA, 465 nt
Filed under: uncultured bacterium
Lineage: Bacteria
Description: partial 16S ribosomal RNA
Rfam family: Bacterial small subunit ribosomal RNA
Source: RNAcentral
CCUACGGGGGGCAGCAGUAGGGAAUCUUCCACAAUGGGCGCAAGCCUGAUGGAGCAACACCGCGUGAGUGAAGAAGGGUUUCGGCUCGUAAAGCUCUGUUGUUGGAGAAGAACGUGCGUGAGAGUAACUGUUCACGCAGUGACGGUAUCCAACCAGAAAGUCACGGCUAACGACGUGCCAGCAGCCGCGGUAAUACGUAGGUGGCAAGCGUUAGCCGGAUUUAUUGGGCGUAAAGCGAGCGCAGGCGGUUGCUUAGGUCUGAUGUGAAAGCCUUCGGCUUAACCGAAGAAGUGCAUCGGAAACCGGGCAACUUGAGUGCAGAAGAGGACAGUGGAACUCCAUGUGUAGCGGUGGAAUGCGUAGAUAUAUGGAAGAACACCAGUGGCGAAGGCGGCUGUCUGGUCUGCAACUGACGCUGAGGCUCGAAAGCAUGGGUAGCGAACAGGAUUAGAUACCCGAGUAGUC